RNAcentral lists this unclassified non-coding RNA (243 nucleotides) under Hevea brasiliensis (rubber tree). The record is from RNAcentral. Lineage: Eukaryota; Viridiplantae; Streptophyta; Magnoliopsida; Malpighiales; Euphorbiaceae.
GAGGGGGGGGGAAAUGGCCGCAAGAGACAUUAUGUGGCUGUGGGUCUUAAUCUGAAGAGGAAUGGGAUUACCUGUUUGUUUUACAGGGAUAACCCAGAAGAUACUACGGAUAAUUUAUGUCUCCAAGAUAACUAUUUUGUUAUUUUCUGGGGAAGUUGGGCUGGAAUUGGUUGGCCGCCACCUAAAAACCGAGGAGUUGAAGAAAAAUCAGAUAGAUACGGCUGCUAGAAGGGGAUAAAAAGA